Molecule: microRNA precursor, 61 nt
Filed under: Saccoglossus kowalevskii
Lineage: Eukaryota; Metazoa; Hemichordata; Enteropneusta; Harrimaniidae
Description: Sko-Mir-315_pre stem-loop
Source: RNAcentral
UUUUGAUUGUUGCUCAGAAAGCCUUAUGCUUCUGGUCGGCUUUCGGGUAACAAUUAAAAAU